UUCUGCUACAAUCUUCACCUCCGAAGUCUCCGCCUCGCCGAUUGCUUCCGCUCGUCGUGUUCAACGAAUACCCUCCUUAUCAAGGGAUGCCUCAAGCACGGGAAGCCUACGGUUCGUCGGCGGCUGAGAUGGCGGUGCUAACAUCUUGUGCGGCGUGAGCCCGACGGGCGCACGUUUCACUUCGUUGUCACAGCGUGCACCCAUUUGUAGAGACGGGGCUCAUCUGUAUGCCCUAAAGUGGAACUCCGUGGUAUUGCAGCCGCACGCAAGGUCUUAGCCAUGGGAUUUCCCUAAUGAACUCCGUGGUAUCAAACUUGCUCUCAUCGGUUGCUCUAAAGAUCCUUGGUUAAUUUAUCUGGCCAAUUGCACAAUCGCCUGAUUAAUGGAUUUCUGUACUUGUGGGUCCACCAUCUGAAAAUAGAUCUCGGCCUACCUAACCAACUUCAGGAUUGCACAUUGAAAUGGUCCGAUUACUCCGAUAGCUCAAGCUUGAAUCAGACUGGUGAUCCUGACCUUUGCCUGGCUUCCCAGUGACAAACAGCACAUUGUGGGACCUUCAUUUUUAGGUUUGCAGAGGGUAUUCAUUUUUCUACGAAGCAGCAGUAGCAGCAGCUUUUGAUUAGAUUUUUAAAGUCAGGAACGGUUGCUCGGAAUUAUGCAGGAGUAACUUUCAAUAUCCAAUCAUGCCACCUUUUGAAUUGUAUCUGCUGUUGAAUUCCAAUAACAGGACAGCACUAAUCCUUACUGUAGACCCACCAGAAGAUUGUAUGCUCUGUAAAGGCCAAGAAUUUUGAUUGAAAAAAGGUCGAGAAUAGCAAAUGUAUCUUGCAAGUGUCAACAUGUGUGGCUCACCUUAAAUUAAGGAAUCUGCUUCUACUUCAUCAGCAUGAUAUCCAGAGACUAAGGCUUGGGCAAGUUGUUACAAGGAUCUCUGGAUUAUCACUUUCUCGGAUAGCAACGAGUAAGAUUUGAUGGAACAGAAAAAGAAUGGCUGUCUCAUAAGAACCAGAGAUGUUUAUUAGAAAACAAAUACCUCUGGUCGACAAGUUACAAAACAUGUGUUGGACAAUGUACAAGUUAUGAGAAUUUGAAUAGAAAGGCUCUGACUUUGGACAAACCGGACACUCUUGGUUAGAAUGAAGUUCGACAUGAUGAUCUAAUAAUGGGUUGACCAUUGGGUAAAUGCGCACACUGGUAUCAGCUCUAAACUUGAUUUCUUGCCAACGAUCAACUACUGGUCAUAUUUCAGAGGUUCUUGAUUUAUUGAAAAAAAAUAUAUGGAGAAUUUUGUUGACACACGGUUCUUUACAGCCAAAUUAACCUUGGAGCAGGUGGCUGCUAUAUUUGCCAGUUUCAGACAAAGGAAAAAAUAUUUGCCAGUGCCUGCACCUAAUAAUACUCUGUUUUAAAAAAGUGAGGUGAAACCUAACAUUUGUCACCAUGAUGUCUCAACCAAAUUAUUGUCUCUUAUGAAAUAAAUUUGGUGGUUGUAAGAAUUUAGCUUAGCAGAGCAGACAAGAUGGGUCGACCAUCAACGUUAUUGCUUCCUACCAAUUUGGAUGCAUACGGAAACAAAUCAUAUGAGCUCUUCAGACAGUCGAAGUGUCCCCAGCAAUUUGGUAGAGUUAGAAAAGGACCAUUUUUUCUGCUCCUGCAACACUUGUUCUUGCAUUAGAUUUCACUUCAGCUGCCACCGUAUAGUAUCACUGUCAUAGUCCUAAAAUUUGAGGGUAGUGUGAUGAUAUAACAUCUGCACCUGCCUCCGUCAUAUCAUAUCAAAUCAAUUAUAUUGUCAUAUUUUUCAUGUUGUUAUAGUAACAUAAAGUAACUUUGAUGAA
Zingiber officinale is the source of this 1838-nucleotide long non-coding RNA. RefSeq lists it as uncharacterized. The transcript is spliced from 3 exons. The record is from RefSeq and is a predicted model, not a curated record. Lineage: Eukaryota; Viridiplantae; Streptophyta; Magnoliopsida; Zingiberales; Zingiberaceae.